RNAcentral lists this ribosomal RNA (449 nucleotides) under uncultured bacterium. RNAcentral's name for it is "bacterial SSU rRNA". It matches the Rfam family "Bacterial small subunit ribosomal RNA", at positions 355 to 796 of the family's 1533-position model. The record is from RNAcentral.
UGGGGAAUAUUGGACAAUGGGGGCAACCCUGAUCCAGCAAUGCCGCGUGUGUGAAGAAGGCCUGCGGGUUGUAAAGCACUUUCAGUGGGGAGGAAGGCUUUGGUGUUAAUAACACUGAAGAUUGACGUUACCCAAAGAAGAAGCACCGGCUAACUCUGUGCCAGCAGCCGCGGUAAUACAGAGGGUGCAAGCGUUAAUCGGAAUUACUGGGCGUAAAGGGCGCGUAGGUGGUUAAUUAAGUCAGAUGUGAAAUCCCUGGGCUUAACCUAGGAAUUGCAUAUGAAACUGAUUGUCUAGAGUUCGGGAGAGGGAAGUGGAAUUUCCGGUGUAGCGGUGAAAUGCGUAGAUAUCGGAAGGAACACCAGUGGCGAAGGCGACUUCCUGGCCCGAUACUGACACUGAGGCGCGAAAGCGUGGGGAGCGAACAGGAUUAGAUACCCCUGUAGUCC